UUGGUAAUGAGCUUCACAGCUUGUCAUAAUGCUCUUAUUCAUUAGUAAAGCUUUGUUUUUUAUCAGUUGCUUUCACUUUACAGGUUAUCGGCAGAUUCACAUAUUCUUCAUUGUAUAUAAUUCGCUGAUGCUCUUCAUAGUUAUAACUGUUUAUUUACAUUUCUGUAGAAAAUAAAGGUGUGCUAGGUUUGACCUACACUCAGAAAAAAGUUUUGGUUAUCCAAAUAGACUGUUGUGUGCAUUCUUAUCAUCUUAUUUCAGUUGCUUAAGUAUUACAUUGCACGCUGUUUCCCUUUUCCUUGAACACCCUUUCCCUCUUUCCAUCUCUUCUGGUCGAGUGUGUUAAAUUUAUUCAUGCAAUUGUUCUGUUAAGGGUGCCAAUGUAAAAUCUCAACUCCUUGUUGCUUCUUCCUCUUACAAAUGGCAAUUUUAGUUGUCUAUCUUUGUAAUAGAGAACCACUGAGCUAAACUUUUAUGCUACUUGUUAUUGAUCUCUUUAAUUCUGCCAUACAGUACUGAAACUCAUCCUUUUUCCAUGAUUUUGUUGAUUCAGUUGAGAAUGCUUGAAACUUAUGAUUCAUAAAACUGUAACAGGCAUCAGCUGAUCAAAGAUCAAG
RNAcentral lists this unclassified non-coding RNA (617 nucleotides) under Hevea brasiliensis (rubber tree). The record is from RNAcentral. Lineage: Eukaryota; Viridiplantae; Streptophyta; Magnoliopsida; Malpighiales; Euphorbiaceae.